This 460-nucleotide ribosomal RNA is filed under the name uncultured bacterium. Its description in RNAcentral is "partial 16S ribosomal RNA". It matches the Rfam family "Bacterial small subunit ribosomal RNA", at positions 338 to 795 of the family's 1533-position model. The record is from RNAcentral.
CCUACGGGUGUCAGCAGUGAGGAAUAUUGGUCAAUGGGCGCAAGCCUGAACCAGCCAAGUAGCGUGCAGGAUGACGGCCCUACGGGUUGUAAACUUCUUUUAUACGGGAAUAACGCGCCUUACGUGUAGGGCUUUGCAUGUACCGUAUGAAGAAGGACCGGCUAAUACGGUGCCAGCCGCCGCGGUAAGACGGAAGGUACGGGCGUUAUCCGGGUUUAUUGGGUUUAAAGGGAUCGUAGGCGGCGUGUCAAGCGUGCUGUGAAAUGUCCGGGCUCAACCCGGGCCUUGCAGCGCGAACUGGCGUGCUUGAGUACGCUGAAAGCAGGCGGAAUUCGUCGUGUAGCGGUGAAAUGCUUAGAUAUGACGAAGAACCCCGAUUGCGAAGGCAGCUUGCUGCAGCGGAACUGACGCUGAUGCUCGAAAGCGCGGGUAUCGAACAGGAUUAGAUACCCUUGUAGUC